ACAUGCAGCAGAUCAAAGCGCUACAGCGACCUUUGCGCGUCUGAUAAGACGCGCGGCGCUGUAGGGA
This 67-nucleotide small RNA is filed under the name Sinorhizobium meliloti 2011. Its description in RNAcentral is "putative ncRNA". Lineage: Bacteria; Pseudomonadati; Pseudomonadota; Alphaproteobacteria; Hyphomicrobiales; Rhizobiaceae. The record is from RNAcentral.